UUGGUCAAUGGCCUACGGGGCUGAACGUGGCAAUUUGGUGUAAACGAAACAGAAUUGUAACUUACUACAAUAAAGUUUUAAGUACGUAUUAAUAAUGAUAAUAUGUAUAAAAGUCUUGGCCAAUUACGUGCCAGCAGUCGCGGGAAUACGUAGGAGACGAGCGUUAUUCAUAUUAAAUAGGUUUAAAGGGUUCCCCCACGGUCAAAAGACCUGAAAUAUAGGAGUACUUGACCAGAGUUAUAUGUAAGAAGACCGUUCUUGAGGUGGAGAGAUUAUAUUUUAAGAUACCAAAAGGACUGAUAACGGCGAAGGCUGUCUUUUAUUUAAUAACUGACGUUGAAGGAGGAAGGCAUAGAUAACUUACAGGAUUCGUUACCCUAGUAGUCUUUGCAGACAAUGAUGAAUGCCAUUGACUAGAUACUAAUUUUAGUUACAUAAAUGCAAAUGAAAGCAUGACACCUCAAGAGUAAUGUGUCAGCGCAGAACUGAAAUCACUAGACCGUUUCUGACACCAGUAGUGAAGUAUGUUA
This 530-nucleotide ribosomal RNA is filed under the name Colletotrichum siamense. RNAcentral describes it as "SSU rRNA". It matches the Rfam family "Bacterial small subunit ribosomal RNA", at positions 359 to 944 of the family's 1533-position model. Lineage: Eukaryota; Fungi; Ascomycota; Sordariomycetes; Glomerellales; Glomerellaceae. The record is from RNAcentral.